Molecule: long non-coding RNA, 669 nt
Filed under: Calidris pygmaea (Spoon-billed sandpiper)
Lineage: Eukaryota; Metazoa; Chordata; Aves; Charadriiformes; Scolopacidae
Description: lncRNA (ENSCPGG00000019199.1)
Source: RNAcentral
CCCCUCUCCCCCCCGGGGAGAUGCCUUUGGAGAUGGGGUAAGGGUUGGGGUGGUUGGGGAGGGCUGUGGGGAGCCCUGUGGUCGCUAAUGCCACCCCUGCCUCCUCAGGUCUCCCUCCUACAGCCCCUCGCCUGUGAAGAAGAAGAAGAAGAAAAGCUCCAAGAAGCGAAAAAGAAACAGGUUAUCUUCAAAGAAGAGAAGACACAGCUCCCGUGGGCGCACCCGGAAAUCUCAUCGCCAUCGUCACCGCCACUGCCACUCUCGCUCAGAGAGCUCGGACUCCCACUCCACCCGCUGCCGAAGCAGGUAACAUCACCUGGGUGUCCUGCAUCACUUCCUGGUGGGCUCAAGGAUGUGAUUGCAAUAGCCUGUGUGACCCACAAACUCUCUGCAGAACCAUGUCUCAUUCUGGUAGCAGCUAUGUCACGUAGCUUGAGGUUGAGCUUCUUGCGGUCUCUGCCGCAGAAAAGUUUUGGCUUGAGGAGCAGCGGCUGCAGCUUUUCGGUCCAGCAGUCACUUCUAAUCCUCAUGGCUGAUGAUGAACCCAUGACAGCUGAUUCCAGCCUCGUUUCCUUUCCCCAGCCCAAGGGCUCUGUACUGCUGAUGUCCCAGGAAACCCUUAAACUUGGUCUUAGCAAUGGAAAUAUAUUCGCUCACGGCAUUCUAGAG